Molecule: long non-coding RNA, 678 nt
Filed under: Setaria viridis
Lineage: Eukaryota; Viridiplantae; Streptophyta; Magnoliopsida; Poales; Poaceae
Description: long non-coding RNA (SVIR_LNC008302)
Source: RNAcentral
UGGGGGUGGCUGCAAAGAUGCACAGAGCCACAUUAUCUGUCGAACCUUUGAAAAGUGGGAUUGGAUGAAAAUUCUACUACUGUCAGUCCAAGUGUAGGCUGGACCAUGAUAACCAAAGUAGAUCAAGCCAUAAUUCUUAAUUAAGAGGGAGGAGUUAUUAAUGUCAGAUAAACUAGGAGAAGCAUUACUAAACUUCUGAUGAGCUGACAGCAUUUCAUUUAAAUCUCCUGAAAAAAGGGAGGUCUUUUAUCACAAUUGGAUUCUAUUAGCAUUUACAUGAUAGGGAUCUCCAUACAUACAGAUGAGCUUAAAGGAGACAGAAAAAGCAUGGCUAACCACGUUAUAUAGAUGGAAUCCACUAACAGUCAUUAAUCGCUAUAAAGCUGCUCUCAUGUUUAGCCACUCAUCGAGUAAACAUUAGCCGUCCAAUUAAUCUUAAGUUUCUUCUUAUUCAUCAGAUUCAUCCUCAAGGCAAUCUCUGACCAUUUAAUUACUCCUCACCUGAAUGUACAUCAUAUUCUCCGCACUCCACACCACAUCCCUUCCUACCUUCCUUCCUCAUCAUUUCCUCGGCUGUAACCAAUGGGAGGUGGCCAGACAACAGUUUUGAACCAACCAUAUAUCUCCAUGGCCAUUAAUCUCCUCAAUUGGUACCUUCGUGUUCAUUCCCCUCUUCCC